GACGAACGCUGGCGGCGUGCUUAACACAUGCAAGUCGAACGGAAAGGCCCUGCUUUUGUGGGGUGCUUGAGUGGCGAACGGGUGAGUAACACGUGAGUAACCUGCCCUUGACUUUGGGAUAACUUCAGGAAACUGGGGCUAAUACCGGAUAGGAGCUCCUGCUGCAUGGUGGGGGUUGGAAAGUUUCGGCGGUUGGGGAUGGACUCGCGGCUUAUCAGCUUGUUGGUGGGGUAGUGGCUUACCAAGGCUUUGACGGGUAGCCGGCCUGAGAGGGUGACCGGCCACAUUGGGACUGAGAGACGGACCAGAAGCCUACGGGAGGCAGCGGUGGGGAGUAUUGCACAAUGGGGGGAAGCCUGAUGCGGCGACGCCGCGUGCGGGAUGACGGCCUUCGGGUUGUAAACCGCUUUCGCCUGUGACGAAGCGUGAGUGACGGUAAUGAGUAAAGAAGCACCGGCUAACUACGUG
Molecule: ribosomal RNA, 468 nt
Filed under: uncultured bacterium
Lineage: Bacteria
Description: partial 16S ribosomal RNA
Rfam family: Bacterial small subunit ribosomal RNA
Source: RNAcentral